UACGUAGGGUGCGAGCGUUAAUCGGAAUUACUGGGCGUAAAGCGUGCGCAGGCGGCCGAGUAAGUCGGGUGUGAAAGCCCCGGGCUCAACCUGGGAAUGGCAUUGGAAACUGGCUGGCUAGAGUGUGGCAGAGGGGGGUGGAAUUCCGCGUGUAGCAGUGAAAUGCGUAGAGAUGCGGAGGAACACCGAUGGCGAAGGCAGCCCCCUGGGCUGACACUGACGCUCAGGCACGAAAGCGUGGGGAGCAAACAGG
RNAcentral lists this ribosomal RNA (253 nucleotides) under uncultured bacterium. RNAcentral's name for it is "partial 16S ribosomal RNA". It matches the Rfam family "Bacterial small subunit ribosomal RNA", at positions 524 to 776 of the family's 1533-position model. The record is from RNAcentral.